This 51-nucleotide small nucleolar RNA is filed under the name Drosophila melanogaster (fruit fly). RNAcentral's name for it is "partial small nucleolar RNA U14". Lineage: Eukaryota; Metazoa; Arthropoda; Insecta; Diptera; Drosophilidae. The record is from RNAcentral.
GCGGUUUCCACCAGAAAGCUUCGGCUUAAUGAUGGUCUAAGGCGUCUGACU